AUUCCCUUCCUUGACCUUGAAUUCUGCCGAUUUGGGGAAGAAAUCAGUGGGUUUUGGUCCUGUUGAUUAAACAUCAAAUUCAAGCCAAAAACAGGCAUUGAAUUCGUUCUUUCUUGAUUGCUUGCUAUUGCUAACAGAAGGAGGCGACAUUAUCAAGGAGCCCUUCUAGUGAUCGCGGAGUAUCAGACUUAGUUUCUUGAAGCAUUCUUUUUUUUGCUUCUCUAUAGAUCGGGACCAGUCGGGAAUAAUGGAUUAGCAGAGGUGAAUGAAGGUUCCAAGGAUGUAUAUUGAGUUGAGCACUUAGGAAUCUAUAGUUUUGUAUUAGGAUUUUGGAUAAAUGUAAAUUUAAUUUGGCUGUGCUGGUUAUAUCGGACUUGUAGAGAAUUGUAUGAUUACCCUUUGUUUUAGUUAGAUGUUUGUUUUGAGAUA
Amaranthus tricolor (Joseph's coat) is the source of this 429-nucleotide long non-coding RNA. RefSeq lists it as uncharacterized. The record is from RefSeq and is a predicted model, not a curated record. Lineage: Eukaryota; Viridiplantae; Streptophyta; Magnoliopsida; Caryophyllales; Amaranthaceae. The transcript has 3 exons.